This 836-nucleotide ribosomal RNA is filed under the name Streptomyces sp. RNAcentral's name for it is "bacterial SSU rRNA". It matches the Rfam family "Bacterial small subunit ribosomal RNA", at positions 22 to 873 of the family's 1533-position model. Lineage: Bacteria; Bacillati; Actinomycetota; Actinomycetes; Kitasatosporales; Streptomycetaceae. The record is from RNAcentral.
CCGUCAGACGAACGCUGGCGGCGUGCUUAACACAUGCAAGUCGAACGAUGAAGCCCUUCGGGGUGGAUUAGUGGCGAACGGGUGAGUAACACGUGGGCAAUCUGCCCUUCACUCUGGGACAAGCCCUGGAAACGGGGUCUAAUACCGGAUAUGACACACGACCGCAUGGUCUGUGUGUGGAAAGCUCCGGCGGUGAAGGAUGAGCCCGCGGCCUAUCAGCUUGUUGGUGGGGUGAUGGCCUACCAAGGCGACGACGGGUAGCCGGCCUGAGAGGGCGACCGGCCACACUGGGACUGAGACACGGCCCAGACUCCUACGGGAGGCAGCAGUGGGGAAUAUUGCACAAUGGGCGAAAGCCUGAUGCAGCGACGCCGCGUGAGGGAUGACGGCCUUCGGGUUGUAAACCUCUUUCAGCAGGGAAGAAGCGAGAGUGACGGUACCUGCAGAAGAAGCGCCGGCUAACUACGUGCCAGCAGCCGCGGUAAUACGUAGGGCGCAAGCGUUGUCCGGAAUUAUUGGGCGUAAAGAGCUCGUAGGCGGCUUGUCACGUCGGAUGUGAAAGCCCGGGGCUUAACCCCGGGUCUGCAUUCGAUACGGGCAGGCUAGAGUUCGGUAGGGGAGAUCGGAAUUCCUGGUGUAGCGGUGAAAUGCGCAGAUAUCAGGAGGAACACCGGUGGCGAAGGCGGAUCUCUGGGCCGAUACUGACGCUGAGGAGCGAAAGCGUGGGGAGCGAACAGGAUUAGAUACCCUGGUAGUCCACGCCGUAAACGUUGGGAACUAGGUGUGGGCGACAUUCCACGUCGUCCGUGCCGCAGCUAACGCAUUAAGUCCCCGUA